Molecule: ribosomal RNA, 745 nt
Filed under: Nitratidesulfovibrio vulgaris
Lineage: Bacteria; Pseudomonadati; Thermodesulfobacteriota; Desulfovibrionia; Desulfovibrionales; Desulfovibrionaceae
Description: bacterial SSU rRNA
Rfam family: Bacterial small subunit ribosomal RNA
Source: RNAcentral
UAGACUGAACGCUGGCGGCGUGCUUAACACAUGCAAGUCGCGCGUGAAAGGACUUCGGUCCGAGUAAAGCGGCGCACGGGUGAGUAACGCGUGGAUGAUCUACCCAUGAGUUAGGAAUAACGGCUGGAAACGGUCGCUAAUACCGAAUACGCUCCGAUUUCAACUUCGGGGGAAAGGUGGCCUCUGCUUGCAAGCUACUGCUCAUGGAUGAGUCCGCGUCCCAUUAGCUAGUUGGUGGGGUAACGGCCCACCAAGGCGACGAUGGGUAGCCGGUCUGAGAGGAUGACCGGCCACACUGGGACUGGAACACGGCCCAGACUCCUACGGGAGGCAGCAGUGGGGAAUAUUGCGCAAUGGGCGAAAGCCUGACGCAGCGACGCCGCGUGAGGGAUGAAGGUCCUCGGAUCGUAAACCUCUGUCAGGAGGGAAGAACCGCCACGGUGCUAAUCAGCCGUGGUCUGACGGUACCUCCAAAGGAAGCACCGGCUAACUCCGUGCCAGCAGCCGCGGUAAUACGGAGGGUGCGAGCGUUAAUCGGAAUCACUGGGCGUAAAGCGCACGUAGGCUGCUUGGUAAGUCAGGGGUGAAAGCCCGCGGCUCAACCGCGGAAUUGCCUUUGAUACUGCCGAGCUAGAGUCCGGGAGAGGGUAGUGGAAUUCCAGGUGUAGGAGUGAAAUCCGUAGAGAUCUGGAGGAACAUCAGUGGCGAAGGCGACUACCUGGACCGGUACUGACGCUUGAGGGCG